Molecule: ribosomal RNA, 525 nt
Filed under: uncultured soil bacterium
Lineage: Bacteria
Description: bacterial SSU rRNA
Rfam family: Bacterial small subunit ribosomal RNA
Source: RNAcentral
CGUUGUCCGGAAUUAUUGGGCGUAAAGAGCGUGUAGGCGGUUCGGUAAGUCUGCUGUGAAAUCCUGGGGCUCAACCCUGGGCGUGCAGCGGAUACUGCCGGGCUAGAGGGUGGUAGAGGCGAGUGGAAUUCCGAGUGUAGCGGUGAAAUGCGCAGAUAUUCGGAGGAACACCAGUAGCGAAGGCGGCUCGCUGGGCCACACCUGACGCUGAGACGCGAAAGCGUGGGGAGCGAACAGGAUUAGAUACCCUGGUAGUCCACGCCGUAAACGAUGGAUACUGGGUGUGGGCGGAGUCGAAUCUGUCUGUGCCGAAGUUAACGCGUUAAGUAUCCCGCCUGGGGAGUACGGCCGCAAGGCUAAAACUCAAAAGAAUUGACGGGGGCCCGCACAAGCAGCGGAGCAUGUUCUUUAAUUCGAUGCAACGCGAAGAACCUUACCUGGACUUGACAUGGGGCUGCAAGCGCACGGAAACGUGUGACCUUCGAGGGUGCCUCACAGAUGCUGCAUGGCUGUCGUCAGCUCGUG